GACGAACGCUGGCGGCGUGCUUAACACAUGCAAGUCGAACGGAAAGGCCCUGCUUUUGUGGGGUGCUCGAGUGGCGAACGGGUGAGUAACACGUGAGUAACCUGCCCUUGACUUUGGGAUAACUUCAGGAAACUGGGGCUAAUACCGGAUAGGAGCUCCUGCUGCAUGGUGGGGGUUGGAAAGUUUCGGCGGUUGGGGAUGGACUCGCGGCUUAUCAGCUUGUUGGUGGGGUAGUGGCUUACCAAGGCUUUGACGGGUAGCCGGCCUGAGAGGGUGACCGGCCACAUUGGGACUGAGAUACGGACCAGACUCCUACAGGAGGCAGCAGUGGGGAGUAUUGCACAAUGAGAGGAAGCCUGAUACAGCAACGCCGCGUGCGGGAUGACGGCCUUCGGGUUGUAAAACGCUUUCGCCUGUGACGAAGCGUGAGUGACGGUAAUGGGUAAAGAAGCACCGGCUAACUACGUG
This 468-nucleotide ribosomal RNA is filed under the name uncultured bacterium. Its description in RNAcentral is "partial 16S ribosomal RNA". It matches the Rfam family "Bacterial small subunit ribosomal RNA", at positions 28 to 507 of the family's 1533-position model. The record is from RNAcentral.